Molecule: ribosomal RNA, 219 nt
Filed under: uncultured bacterium
Lineage: Bacteria
Description: partial 16S ribosomal RNA
Rfam family: Bacterial small subunit ribosomal RNA
Source: RNAcentral
GACGAACGCUGGCGGCGUGCUUAGCACAUGCAAGUCGAGCGGUAAGGCCCUUUCGGGGGUACACGAGCGGCGAACGGGUGAGUAACACGUGGGUGACCUGCCCUCAGCUCUGGGAUAAGCCUGGGAAACUGGGUCUAAUACCGGAUAUGACUCCAUGACGCAUGUUGUGGGGUGGAAAGCCUUGUGCGGCUGAGGAUGGGCCCGCGGCCUAUCAGCUUG